AGAGUUUGAUCCUGGCUCAGGAUGAACGCUAGCUACAGGCUUAACACAUGCAAGUCGAGGGGAACGACAUCGAAAGCUUGUCUUUGUUGGGCGUCGACCGGCGCACGGGUGAGUAACGCGUAUCCAACCUGCCCACCACUUGGGGAUAACCUUGCGAAAGUAAGACUAAUACCCAAUGAUAUCUCUAGAAGACAUCUGAAAGAGAUUAAAGAUUCAUCGGUGAUGAAUGGGGAUGCGUCUGAUUAGCUUGUUGGCGGGGUAACGGCCCACCAAGGCAACGAUCAGUAGGGGUUCUGAGAGGAAGGUCCCCCACAUUGGAACUGAGACACGGUCCAAACUCCUACGGGAGGCAGCA
RNAcentral lists this ribosomal RNA (355 nucleotides) under uncultured bacterium. Its description in RNAcentral is "bacterial SSU rRNA". It matches the Rfam family "Bacterial small subunit ribosomal RNA", at positions 8 to 353 of the family's 1533-position model. The record is from RNAcentral.